This 426-nucleotide ribosomal RNA is filed under the name uncultured bacterium. Its description in RNAcentral is "bacterial SSU rRNA". It matches the Rfam family "Bacterial small subunit ribosomal RNA", at positions 39 to 492 of the family's 1533-position model. The record is from RNAcentral.
CCAGUGCGGGCGUGCCUACACAUGCAAGUCGCACGAGAAAGGGGCUUCGGCUCUGAGUAAAGUGGCGCACGGGUGAGUAACACGUGAAUGAUCUACCUCCGAGUGGGGAAUAACUGAGAGAAAUCUUAGCUAAUACCGCAUAACACUUACGAGUCAAAGCAGCAAUGCGCUUGGAGAGGAGUUCGCGGCCGAUUAGUUAGUUGGCGGGGUAAUGGCCCACCAAGACGAUGAUCGGUAUCCGGCCUGAGAGGGCGCACGGACACACUGGAACUGAAACACGGUCCAGACUCCUACGGGAGGCAGCAGUGGGGAAUUUUGCGCAAUGGGGGAAACCCUGACGCAGCAACGCCGCGUGGAGGAUGAAAUCCCUUGGGAUGUAAACUCCUUUCGAUAGGGAAGAUUAUGACGGUACCUAUAGAAGAAGCC